CCUACGGGAGGCAGCAGUGAGGAAUAUUGGUCAAUGGCCGGAAGGCUGAACCAGCCAUGCCGCGUGAAGGUCAGUGCCCUAUGGGCGUUAAACUUCUUUUGUGCGGGAGCAAUAAUGGUCACGUGUGGCCAGACGAGAGUACCGUACGAAUAAGCAUCGGCUAACUCCGUGCCAGCAGCCGCGGUAAUACGGGGGAUGCAAGCGUUAUCCGGAUUUUGUGGGGUUAAAGGGUGCGUAGGGUGUGAGGUAAGUCAGCGGGGAAAUGCCCCCGCUCAACGGGGUGAAGUGCCAUUGAUACUGCCUUGCUGGAAUGCGGAUGCGGUGGGAGGAAUGUGUGGUGUAGCGGUGAAAUGCAUAGAUAUCACACAGAACACCGAUUGCGAAGGCAUCUCACGAAUCCGCGAUUGACGCUGAUGCACGAAAGCGUGGGUAUCAAACAGGAUUAGAUACCCUUGUAGUC
RNAcentral lists this ribosomal RNA (460 nucleotides) under uncultured bacterium. RNAcentral describes it as "partial 16S ribosomal RNA". It matches the Rfam family "Bacterial small subunit ribosomal RNA", at positions 338 to 795 of the family's 1533-position model. The record is from RNAcentral.